CAGGAACUGCCCCAGUGGCUGAGAGUUGAAUUUGGGCAAAAUCAUAACAGCUGGGGAACAGCAGAAAGGCAGGAGGAGCUGAGUUGUGCUCUAGGAACGAAUCCCUCACAUUUGGGCUGCAGAGUAAGGAGUCCCUCAUUCACUCUGUGACCUUAUGCUGGGUGACAGCCCGGGACAGCAAACCAUUCCCUGGGGAAAGCACUGUUCCACGAGCCUGUGAAGCCAGCCCUUGUCUCCUGAUGGCUCCAGCUUUGGUGGCUAAUCUCUGGAGCCUUUUCCCAAACACUGCAAAUUGUUGGAAAUCCUUAUUCCAAAGAGCUUGCAGUCAGAAUCAAAAGAAGAUGGAGGCAGUUCAAAAGAAACAAGGACAAGACAAAUUUAAGCAUAUGUGAUAUUGAAGAUGUCAUUAGUUGUAAAUAAUGAUUUGCUUGACCUUGGCACUGCUCCCAGGAAGUCACACCAGGCUCAAGAAUGCAACACGAUGACGCACAACUUGAAAAUCCUGUGUCAAACCCCACCUGGUUCCUGUUAGCUGAAGGUCUUGCUGACACUGCUCAUUUGUUCUUCACUGGACUGAAGACUCAUGAACUCAUUGAAGAAUGCAGCUUGAUGGAACUGCUUGGCAAACCCUGAUAGUUUUAAAAGAUUUAAUAAAUUGCUAAUUAAAGGAGGAGAAAAAGCUCAGAAAUGUCUGCAAACAUGCACAUUGGUUUUUUUCAACAUUUUGUAACUUAACCUCCUGUAGACCAUCUGACCCAUCAGCUUUGUUUGCUAUUGCUGAAAAACUGGGAUUGAACUUCAUGAAUGAACUUUGAGUUUGCUAUGAUUGCUGCAUACUGCUGAUGGAGAAAGCAGGGCUAAAAUGCUGCUUGAAGGGAUACAGGAAGCUGGAGGACCUGGUGAUAAUAAUUAGCAUCUCUUGAGGAGUGACUCCAUGGUCCUGAGCUGACCACCAAGGUAAAUAGAAAUCCUCUGAGCCAAGCUUCUCUCCUCUGGUUGUGCAUGUGAGCUUUGAUGAAGAAACAGUUGUAAUUUUCAAGUUUGAUGCAUCUAAUGAACCUCUCCUCCUC
This is a long non-coding RNA of Zonotrichia leucophrys gambelii, 1070 nucleotides long. RefSeq lists it as uncharacterized. Lineage: Eukaryota; Metazoa; Chordata; Aves; Passeriformes; Passerellidae. The record is from RefSeq and is a predicted model, not a curated record. The transcript is spliced from 3 exons.